GGUCAAGUAAUGAAGUGCACAUGGUGGAUGCCUUGGCAGUCAGAGGCGAUGAAAGACGUGAUAGCCUGCGAUAAGCGUCGGUGAGGUGGCAAUAUCCUGUGACCCGGCGAUUUCUGAAUGGGGAAACCCAGCCAACAUAAGUUGGCUAUCCUAACCUUUGGUUAGGAGGCGAACCGGGAGAAGUGAAACAUCUCAGUACCCCGAGGAAAAGACAUCAAUAGAGAUUCCCCAAGUAGCGGCGAGCGAACGGGGAGUAGCCGAUCAAACUUGUAGUAGCAAAAUGGCGUGGGAAAGCCAACCAUAGUAGGUGAUAGUCCUGUAUGCGAAACUGCAAAUGCGACAUAUUAAGUAGGGCGAGACACGUGAAAUCUUGUCUGAAGAUGGGGGGACCAUCCUCCAAGGCUAAAUACUCCUGACUGACCGAUAGUGAACCAGUACCGUGAGGGAAAGGCGAAAAGAACCCCUGUUAGGGGAGUGAAAUAGAACCUGAAACCGUGUGCAUACAAGCAGUCGGAGCCCACUUGUUGGGUGACGGCGUACCUUUUGUAUAAUGGGUCAGCGACUUAUAUUCUGUAGCAAGGUUAACCGUUUAGGGGAGCCGUAGGGAAACCGAGUCUUAAUAGGGCGAAUUAAGUUGCAGGGUAUAGACCCGAAACCGAGUGAUCUAUCCAUGAGCAGGUUGAAAGUGCCGUAACAGGCACCGGAGGACCGAACCCACUGUCGUUGAAAAGCCAGGGGAUGACUUGUGGAUAGGGGUGAAAGGCUAAUCAAACUCGGUGAUAGCUGGUUCUCCCCGAAAGCUAUUUAGGUAGCGCCUCGGACGAACACCAUUGGGGGUAGAGCACUGUUUCGGCUAGGGGGUCAUCCCGACUUACCAAACCGAUGCAAACUCCGAAUACCGAUGAGUGAUAUCCGGGAGACAGACGGCGGGUGCUAACGUCCGUCGUCAAGAGGGAAACAACCCAGACCGCCAGCUAAGGCCCCAAAUUCCUAGUUAAGUGGGAAACGAUGUGGGAAGGCACAGACAGCUAGGAUGUUGGCUUAGAAGCAGCCAUCAUUUAAAGAAAGCGUAAUAGCUCACUAGUCGAGUCGGCCUGCGCGGAAGAUGUAACGGGGCUCAAACUAGGAGCCGAAGCUGCGGAUUUAAUUGUUUCAAUUAAGUGGUAGGGGAGCGUUGUGUAAGCCUGUGAAGGUGUAUCGUAAGGUAUGCUGGAGGUAUCACAAGAGCGAAUGCUGACGUGAGUAACGACAAAACGGGUGAAAAGCCCGUUCGCCGGAAGACCAAGGGUUCCAGUCCAACGUUAAUCGGGGCUGGGUGAGUCGACCCCUAAGGCGAGGCCGAAAGGCGUAGUCGAUGGGAAAUCGGUUAAUAUUCCGAUACUUGUUUAUGAUGCGAUGGAGGGACGGAGAAGGUUAUGUCAGCCUGGCGUUGGUUGUCCAGGUGGAAGGAUGUAGGUAGGUUUAGUAGGCAAAUCCGCUAGACUAUUACUGAGAUCUGAUAGCAAGCC
RNAcentral lists this ribosomal RNA (1508 nucleotides) under Moraxella bovoculi. RNAcentral describes it as "bacterial LSU rRNA". It matches the Rfam family "Bacterial large subunit ribosomal RNA", at positions 1 to 1575 of the family's 2925-position model. The record is from RNAcentral. Lineage: Bacteria; Pseudomonadati; Pseudomonadota; Gammaproteobacteria; Moraxellales; Moraxellaceae.